UCCAAGUUCAUCUGCUUACACAUGUGUC
RNAcentral lists this non-coding RNA (28 nucleotides) under Mus musculus (house mouse). The record is from RNAcentral. Lineage: Eukaryota; Metazoa; Chordata; Mammalia; Rodentia; Muridae.